RNAcentral lists this ribosomal RNA (1343 nucleotides) under uncultured bacterium. RNAcentral's name for it is "16S ribosomal RNA". It matches the Rfam family "Bacterial small subunit ribosomal RNA", at positions 28 to 1378 of the family's 1533-position model. The record is from RNAcentral.
GACGAACGCUGGCGGCGUGCUUAACACAUGCAAGUCGAACGGAAAGGCCCUGCUUUUGUGGGGUGCUCGAGUGGCGAACGGGUGAGUAACACGUGAGUAACCUGCCCUUGACUUUGGGAUAACUUCAGGAAACUGGGGCUAAUACCGGAUAGGAGCUCCUGCUGCAUGGUGGGGGUUGGAAAGUUUCGGCGGUUGGGGAUGGACUCGCGGCUUAUCAGCUUGUUGGUGGGGUAGUGGCUUACCAAGGCUUUGACGGGUAGCCGGCCUGAGAGGGUGACCGGCCACAUUGGGACUGAGAUACGGCCCAGACUCCUACGGGAGGCAGCAGUGGGGAAUAUUGCACAAUGGGCGGAAGCCUGAUGCAGCAACGCCGCGUGCGGGAUGACGGCCUUCGGGUUGUAAACCGCUUUCGCCUGUGACGAAGCGUGAGUGACGGUAAUGGGUAAAGAAGCACCGGCUAACUACGUGCCAGCAGCCGCGGUGAUACGUAGGGUGCGAGCGUUGUCCGGAUUUAUUGGGCGUAAAGGGCUCGUAGGUGGUUGAUCGCGUCGGAAGUGUAAUCUUGGGGCUUAACCCUGAGCGUGCUUUCGAUACGGGUUGACUUGAGGAAGGUAGGGGAGAAUGGAAUUCCUGGUGGAGCGGUGGAAUGCGCAGAUAUCAGGAGGAACACCAGUGGCGAAGGCGGUUCUCUGGGCCUUUCCUGACGCUGAGGAGCGAAAGCGUGGGGAGCGAACAGGCUUAGAUACCCUGGUAGUCCACGCUGUAAACGGUGGGUACUAGGUGUGGGGUCCAUUCCACGGGUUCCGUGCCGUAGCUAACGCUUUAAGUACCCCGCCUGGGGAGUACGGCCGCAAGGCUAAAACUCAAAGGAAUUGACGGGGCCCCGCACAAGCGGCGGAGCAUGCGGAUUAAUUCGAUGCAACGCGUAGAACCUUACCUGGGUUUGACAUGGAUCGGGAGUGCUCAGAGAUGGGUGUGCCUCUUUUGGGGUCGGUUCACAGGUGGUGCAUGGCUGUCGUCAGCUCGUGUCGUGAGAUGUUGGGUUAAGUCCCGCAACGAGCGCAACCCUUGUUCACUGUGGCCAGCACGUUAUGGUGGGGACUCAGUGGAGACCGCCGGGGUCAACUCGGAGGAAGGUGGGGAUGACGUCAAGUCAUCAUGCCCCUUAUGUCCAGGGCUUCACGCAUGCUACAAUGGCUGGUACAGAGAGUGGCGAGCCUGUGAGGGUGAGCGAAUCUCGGAAAGCCGGUCUCAGUUCGGAUUGGGGUCUGCAACUCGACCUCAUGAAGUCGGAGUCGCUAGUAAUCGCAGAUCAGCAACGCUGCGGUGAAUACGUUCCCGGG